GUCCCCUUCGGGGUGACAUACGUUAAAAUUGGAACGAUACAGAGAAGAUUAGCAUGGCCCCUGCACAAGGAUGACACGCUCACGGCAGAGUGGAACUAGUCUUCG
This is a non-coding RNA of Auricularia subglabra TFB-10046 SS5, 105 nucleotides long. NCBI's taxonomy places the organism in Eukaryota, Fungi, Basidiomycota, Agaricomycetes, Auriculariales, Auriculariaceae. The record is from Rfam.